Ovis aries (sheep) is the source of this 72-nucleotide transfer RNA. It matches the Rfam family "tRNA". From Rfam's summary of the family: Transfer RNA (tRNA) molecules are approximately 80 nucleotides in length. Their secondary structure includes four short double-helical elements and three loops (D, anti-codon, and T loops). The record is from Rfam. NCBI's taxonomy places the organism in Eukaryota, Metazoa, Chordata, Mammalia, Artiodactyla, Bovidae.
CCCUUGCUGGUCUUGUGGCUAGGAUUCCAGGUUCUCACCCAGGCUACCCAGGUUCAAUUCCUGGGCAAGGAA